RNA transcript from Priapulus caudatus, 1832 nucleotides. RefSeq lists it as uncharacterized. The record is from RefSeq and is a predicted model, not a curated record. The transcript has 3 exons. NCBI's taxonomy places the organism in Eukaryota, Metazoa, Priapulida, Priapulimorpha, Priapulimorphida, Priapulidae.
UGUAUGUAUUUAUUUUGUGUAGUAUGCCUUUAAUCAUAUAACAGUAAAAACUGAAACAUUUUACAUUUACAGAGAUGUCUACAAUUAAAAGGUGCCUGUGCAGCAAAUGCAGAGGUGACAAGUACCUCAGCACACGACAAAGAUACAGGCACAGAGUCCACAACGGGGCAUUCACCCCACAAUUUUUUGAAGAGGAUGCAGCAAUAGGAGGUGGUGGCGACGAUGACAGACUUGACGACGGCAACAUUGGCGAUGACAGACUUGACGACGUCAACUUUGGAGAUGACGCAAACGAUGACGGAGACGAUGACGGAGACGGAGUCGAUGACGGAGACGAUGACUACGAUGGAAAUUACAACAGACCCUUAUACCCUGCAGCUGUAGUAACUGUUCUUCAAACAAUUGCUCUGCUUGCAGUGUUUUAUAUAACAUCCGGAAAAAUCGCGAAAAAGUCAAUGGAACAACUUCUCCGCAUCAUAAAAGCCAUUCUGCCCCAACCAAAUUUACUACCACACACAUUCAAACAACUGAAACACAUGAUAAACAACAUUGCUGGAAACAUGACAGACAUACAUGCAUGCAUCAACGACUGUAUACUAUUCACGCAUCAAUAUGAACAUCUUGACACUUGCCCACAAUGCACUGCUGCACGAUACACACACAAUGGACAGCCACGAAAAAUAUUUACACAUUCACAUCUGACAAAAUUUAUAAAAUCACAAUUCAAAUACUUCAACUUUGACUCACUUAUGACUUACAGACACACACACUACAUUCCAGUUACAAGAAUAUAUGACAUUCAUCAAACACACAUGGCAAAAUUUAUUUAAUGACCCAUACAACAUUAUAAUUAGUAUUGAAUUUGAUGGCUUCUCCCCUUUUGAAAGAACAAAAAAUUACUCUAUCUGGCCAAUCACUAUUAAAUUCUUAAACCUUCCAGCCCCAAUUAGAAACAAAUUUGAAAACAAGUUCCUUUACGGCAUAAUUCCCGGCCCAAAAAGACAACAAAACCUUUCAACGUAUCUUCAACCGUUAAUAGACGAGCUUGUACACGACAUAGACAUUACGGACGCAAAUGGACACCACCACCUCGUUAACGUCAAGCUGCUCUUCACUGGAGCCGACUAUGAAGGCCAUUCUCUAGCGAUGCAGCUGACAGGAGCAGCCAGCUACAGCAGCUGCAUGAAAUGCAACAUUGAUGGAAAUUACUUUCCUGGUCUCAGGAAAGUAAUUCAUGCCGAUAAUAGGAGGUUCCUACCAGCUGAGAGUACCCUCAGACGUGCCAACAGAGGCCUUUUUCUGGCUGGCAAUAUUUUGACAGCCAACGCCGAACUACUGCCACCACCAGAAAACAAAACAGAUGCUGGCCAAAGAAUUGCAGCUGCAGAAUACAUGGCAGCACAACACAUUGGUAUUAGCCCUUUACAUACUAUACUCAAGCAUUCAUAUUUUGAAAGUAUUUCAAUUAUGAAAUGUAACCACAUAUAUCUGAAACGCAUUUUUUUAAUUGUGCGUUUUUGAGUAAAAAUCGUGUUUAUUUACCAUUAAUUUUAUUAUUGAAGUGUUCCAAGUGCCUACAGGUGGCUCAGGGCAUAGAAAACAUUACACAGUUUACAGAAUUGAAAAAUUCCACCCUAUCAAAAGUUACAGGCAUUUUGACUGAUUUUGGGAGGGAUGCUAUCAUUGGGGGGGGGUCCAAGCUCCAUUUAGAGAUGCCACUUUGAUUUUAAAUGCCGAGUCUUAUGGUUUUGUAAGAACCUUAUUAGUCCCUGAGAUUGUGAUGCAAGUGUGUACGUGCGUGUACCCGCGUUUACGUGCGUGUAUCUGCGUGU